CAAUAGUGUGGGUAACCAUACUCCCGAGAAAAUCCGCUAAGCUUAACCCAUGCGGCACCCGUACCGCAAACGGACACACGUGGUCGGGUAGAACAUACUGAGGCGUUGAGAGAUUCAUGGUUAAGGAACUAGGCAAAUUGACCCUGUAACUUCGGGAUAAAGGGUCCUCGUGAAGAGCGAGGCGCAGAGAAUAGGUCCAGGCAACUGUUUAACAAAAACACAGGGCUGUGCAAACUCGAAAGAUGACGUAUACAGCCUGACACCUGCCCGGUGCCGGAAGGUUAAGAGGAGAUGUCACACUUAUGUGGAAGCAUUGAAUUGAAGCCCCGGUAAAACGGCGGCCGUAACAAUAACGGUCCUAAGGUAGCGAAAUUCCUUGUCGGGUAAGUUCCGACCUGCACGAAUGGUGUAAUGAUCCGGACGCUGUCUCAACCAUGAGCUCAGUGAAAUUGUAGUAUCGGUGAAGAUGCCGAUUACCCGCGAUGGGACGAAAAGACCCCGUGAACCUUUACUACAGCUUAGCAUUGACCUUGGUCAUCCGAUGUGUAGGAUAGGCCGGAGGCUUCGAAGCGGGAGCGCCAGCUUUCGUGGAGCCAUCCUUGAAAUACGGCCCUUUGGCUGUCUGAGGUCUAACGCGCGAUGCGCGGACACUGCUUGGUGGGUAGUUUGACUGGGGUGGUCGCCUCCAAAAGCGUAACGGAGGCUUCCAAAGGUGCCCUCGGGUCGAUUGGUAACCGACCUCAAAGAGUGCAAUGGCUUAAGGGCGCUUGACUGGGAGGCAGACAUGCCGAGCAGGCAGGAAACUGGGGCAUAGUGAUCCGGCGGAUGUGUAUGGAAACUCCGUCGCUCAAAGGAUAAAAGGUACUCCGGGGAUAACAGGCUGAUCCCCCCCAAGAGCUCAUAUCGACGGGGUGGUUUGGCACCUCGAUGUCGGCUCGUCACAUCCUGGGGCUGGAGAAGGUCCCAAGGGUUGGGCUGUUCGCCCAUUAAAGUGGCACGCGAGCUGGGCUCAGAACGUCGUGAGACAGUUCGGUCUCUAUCUAUCGUGGGCGUGGGAGUUUUGCGUGGUGCCGUCACUAGUACGAGAGGACCGUGAUGGACAGACCUCCGGUUUACCAGUUGUGCCGCCAGGCGCACCGCUGGGUAUCUGAGUCUGGAUUGGAUAAGCGCUGAAAGCAUCUAAGUGCGAAGCCAGCCGCAAGAUGAGAACUCCAUUGAGGGUCGUCAGAGACGAUGACGUUGAUAGGAUGCAGGUGUAAAGACAGCGAUGUCAAAGCCGAGCAUUACUAAUUGCCC
This 1296-nucleotide ribosomal RNA is filed under the name metagenome. RNAcentral describes it as "bacterial LSU rRNA". It matches the Rfam family "Bacterial large subunit ribosomal RNA", at positions 1585 to 2910 of the family's 2925-position model. The record is from RNAcentral.